GAAUCGAUCGGGAGAUGCAGGCAAAAGAAGUUGCUGAAAGCAAGGCUGGCAUGGACGGGAGCUACGUUCCUCUGGCUCCAUAGUGCACAGGGAGCGGUCGAACUUUUUGGCUUUUGAAUAUACAUUGCUCCUCCGCGAACACCUUGGGCUGUGUUAUACGGACAGAGUCACAGCAUGUCACUGCACAUCUCGCGUCUGCUGUUAGACUAGCCAGACCAAGCCCAGGGGACCGAAAAGGGAGCAACGCUGGGGAUUUGCUGUCUCCCCAAGGAUAGUCACCUGUGAAAAAAAGCUGGAGAAGGGCAAUUUAUCUUGCUUUUCCAGAUGACUGAAAAUACCUUCAGGAUCCUGUCCCUCCAGUUUUCAUCAGCAAGUAGCAUCAGGGAGAGAUGGCUGAGGAACAGAAAUGAUAUUAGUCGAAUUUAUUCCAGCAUCUACUUUUUCUCAAGGAACUCUUUGCCCAUAGGGAUUUGCUGCAUGCAUUUCCAAGACUAAGGACUGACGUACCACAGGUGCAUGCCUAGCAGAUGAUAUAAUAAUUUGCAAGUGAGAAACCUACCCCAGCAAGACUUUCUCUGCCCAGUUUGAAGUACAUGGUUUGGUGUAAGCACGGCAGUUCUUGCCUCUCUCUCUCCCUUUUUAAAUCUCUUGUGCGAGGAGACUUCUUUCCUCAUUGCAAUUAUGAUCAUUUGCAACAUCAGUGCCAUCAAAGAUUGGAGCACUUUCCUCUCCCAGAUCCUCCCUAGCGUUAACAAGACUCUGAACUUGGUGCAGCAAGUGGAAGCGACCACCAGCUCAGUGGUAAGUGUCCUCCAGGACCCCGAGCAGGACAGCUACCUGUCCAACAGCCAAUCCAUGAACUCCAGCAACUUCACGGCUGGCCUGGACCACUUGUUUCAGUAUUCGUACUCAGACAAUGACCAGCUUUACAAGGAAUACAAACCCCCUCCUCGAGAUGCCAUUCCUCUGCCCAAGGCUGUUCUCUACCUUCUCAUGGCAGCUUUGGUGGUGGUGGCAGUGGCGUACGCAAUCGUUGGGCAUCUCAUCAAGGACCUUAUUCAUGAUUUUAUAGAUUACUGGGUAAUUAGAUCCAGCAGGCUCCAGAAAUAAUUCCCAGGGAAGCAGCGAAGAUGAGAGCGUACAAUCCUGCCCGCACUUAGCCGGGAAUUAGACUGCAGCAGUCUCACGCAAGCGUGCCCUCUGCGGCGGCCGCCCGGGCCGGACCGUCCCCUCCCGGCGAGGAAGCGUUGCAACCCUUGCAAACAGGCUGCUUUUCCCGAGGACUCGGCUCGACCUGUCCCCUUAGCUGCGCUCCCAGACCCUCCCCCAAAAUGUGCAGCCUCGGAGGUCCUUCCUUUUUUGUGACGUUGCCUUCUUUCGCUGCUCACGCAAAACGUGACACCCCCCCCCAAGGAUUUUCCCGCUCACCGCUGAGUCACCAGAUAUCACGGCUGGGCAAAGACGGGGCCUUUGCAUCCAGCCGCCUUCCCACCCUCUGCACGCGGCAACCCUCAGCCGAGGCUCCCGGAUACCUGGGGACCUGUCACCCGUCUUUCUGCAGUCUCAGCCUAUUCCCCUUU
Struthio camelus australis is the source of this 1580-nucleotide long non-coding RNA. NCBI's taxonomy places the organism in Eukaryota, Metazoa, Chordata, Aves, Struthioniformes, Struthionidae. The record is from Ensembl.